UACGUAGGGUCCGAGCGUUGUCCGGAUUUAUUGGGCGUAAAGAGCUCGUAGGCGGUCUGUCGCGUCGAUCGUGAAAACUUGGGGCUUAACCCUGAGCUUGCGGUCGAUACGGGCAUGACUGGAGUUCGGCAGGGGAGACUGGAAUUCCUGGUGUAGCGGUGAAAUGCGCAGAUAUCAGGAGGAACACCGGUGGCGAAGGCGGGUCUCUGGGCCGAUACUGACGCUGAGGAGCGAAAGCGUGGGGAGCGAACAGG
This 254-nucleotide ribosomal RNA is filed under the name uncultured bacterium. RNAcentral's name for it is "partial 16S ribosomal RNA". It matches the Rfam family "Bacterial small subunit ribosomal RNA", at positions 524 to 776 of the family's 1533-position model. The record is from RNAcentral.